AUACGUAGGUGACAAGCGUUAUCCGGAUUUACUGGGCGUAAAGGGCGUGUAGGCGGUCUUGCAAGUCAGAAGUGAAAUUCCUGAGCUCAACUCGGGCGCUGCUUCUGAAACUGCGGAGCUUGAGUGCAGGAGAGGUUAUCGGAAUUCCCGGUGUAGCGGUGAAAUGCGUAGAGAUCGGGAGGAACACCAGUGGCGAAGGCGGGUAACUGGACUGCAACUGACGCUGAGGCGCGAAAGUGUGGGGAGCAAACAGGAUUAGAUACCCUGGUAGUCCACACUGUAAACGAUGAAUGCUAGGUGUAGGAGGUAUCGACCCCUUCUGUGCCGCAGUAAACACAGUAAGCAUUCCGCCUGGGGAGUACGGUCGCAAGAUUAAAACUCAAAUGAAUUGACGGGG
RNAcentral lists this ribosomal RNA (397 nucleotides) under uncultured bacterium. Its description in RNAcentral is "partial 16S ribosomal RNA". It matches the Rfam family "Bacterial small subunit ribosomal RNA", at positions 523 to 918 of the family's 1533-position model. The record is from RNAcentral.